RNAcentral lists this long non-coding RNA (818 nucleotides) under Phoenix dactylifera (date palm). Its description in RNAcentral is "long non-coding RNA (PDAC_LNC010641)". Lineage: Eukaryota; Viridiplantae; Streptophyta; Magnoliopsida; Arecales; Arecaceae. The record is from RNAcentral.
AAAAUGAUAUUUGAAGCAUGAUCAUGAGGCUCGUUUCAGAGCCUGGGUAUAUGAGGCGGGUGCUUCCAAAUCCUGCAGAUGUGUUUUUGGGGAGAAGCAAAAUCGGUGAGGGGUGAAGGACGCUUGCGUGAAGCCCCGGAACCGGCCAACAUCUGGCAGGGGAGCCCCGUGUUUCCCCCUCAUGUAGGCCCGAUAGUCACGUGCCCUGCGAAGGCGGACUGUGACAUUUAUGAACGUGCCUCGCCAAAGCAUACAUUGUAUGAAAAUUCUGUUUGACUGAAAAUACUGCUUUGUUUUCCAAGCAUACAUAUUUUGCCAUGAUAAAUUGUGAGAUAAUACGCUUGUCAGCUUCUCAAACCCUGCAUAAACAUGGUUACCAUUAUGUUCGAUCCGGUAAGAUUAUGUAUGAUUACUUACUGAGCCGUGUAGCUCAUAUCCGUUCAUUUACUUUUCUUUCAGAUCUUCACCACUGAUAGCUGCCAGAGACACGUUAAUUUGGUAUCAGGGCUUCUGGGGUAAAGCAAGUAUACUUUUGUGUACAUAAACUAUGUAGAAGCUCUGUAUUUGGGUACUGACCAGCAUGUUGUACUAAGAAUGCUUUCAUAUGAAAAGAUUCGGUUGGUUUGACUACCCUAUUACCCAGGUAUGAGGCUGCGUGCUAUUGCGGGUAGUAGUCGGCAAUAGCACGGCCGUGUCACGGAUCCGGAUCCGGGGCGUGACAUUUCUUGUGGUAUCAGAGCAAUAGGUUAACCAUGAGUAAAAAUUUUAAGCUUUUAAAUAAGGAAAUGGGUAGUUAAGUCUCAUUUAGUGAGAUUCCG